This 72-nucleotide transfer RNA is filed under the name Candidatus Kerfeldbacteria bacterium. RNAcentral describes it as "tRNA-Arg". It matches the Rfam family "tRNA". Rfam says of the family: Transfer RNA (tRNA) molecules are approximately 80 nucleotides in length. Their secondary structure includes four short double-helical elements and three loops (D, anti-codon, and T loops). The record is from RNAcentral. Lineage: Bacteria; Candidatus Kerfeldiibacteriota.
GCCCACGUAGUUCAAUGGAUAGAACAAGGCACUCCUAACGCCUAGAUGGUGGUUCAACUCCUCCCGAGGGCA